GCCUCUUAUGAUGAAUAAACUAGACCUUUUAACUUCUGAGAUGCUCCAUGCGGAAAAAUUUGGAGACCUGAACUGAAGAGGC
Pyrus x bretschneideri (Chinese white pear) is the source of this 82-nucleotide small nucleolar RNA. RefSeq annotates it as small nucleolar RNA Z159/U59. Lineage: Eukaryota; Viridiplantae; Streptophyta; Magnoliopsida; Rosales; Rosaceae. The record is from RefSeq and is a predicted model, not a curated record. The transcript has a single exon.